CAGCAGCCGCGGUAAAACGGAGGGUGCAAGCGUUAAUCGGAAUUACUGGGCGUAAAGCGCACGCAGGCGGUCUGACAAGUGAGAUGUGAAAUCCCCGGGCUUAACCUGGGAACUGCAUUUGAAACUGUCAGGCUGGAGUCUUGUAGAGGGGGGUGGAAUUCCAGGUGUAGCGGUGAAAUGCGUAGAGAUCUGGAGGAAUACCGGUGGCGAAGGCGGCCCCCUGGACAAAGACUGACGCUCAGGUGCGAAAGCGUGGGGAGCAAACAGGAUUAGAUACCCGGGUAGUCCCUGUCUCUUAUAC
RNAcentral lists this ribosomal RNA (301 nucleotides) under uncultured bacterium. Its description in RNAcentral is "partial 16S ribosomal RNA". It matches the Rfam family "Bacterial small subunit ribosomal RNA", at positions 509 to 807 of the family's 1533-position model. The record is from RNAcentral.